Molecule: ribosomal RNA, 500 nt
Filed under: uncultured bacterium
Lineage: Bacteria
Description: partial 16S ribosomal RNA
Rfam family: Bacterial small subunit ribosomal RNA
Source: RNAcentral
GACGAACGCUGGCGGCGUGCUUAACACAUGCAAGUCGAACGAGUCUGCCCUGUUUUUUGCGGGGUGGGUCAGUGGCGAACGGGUGAGUAACACGUGAGUAACCUGCCCCUCACUUCUGGAUAACCGCUUGAAAGGGUGGCUAAUACGGGGUGUUCUGGCUGUGCCGCAUGGUGUGGCUGGGAAAGAUUCACUUUUGUGGUGUUUUGGUGGGGGAUGGGCUCGCGGCCUAUCAGCUUGUUGGUGGGGUGAUGGCCUGCCAAGGCUUUGACGGGUAGCCGGCCUGAGAGGGUGGGCGGUCACACUGGGACUGAGAUACGGCCCAGACUCCUGCGGGAGGCAGCAGUGGGGGGUAUUGCACAAUGGGCGGAAGCCUGAUGCAGCGACGUCGCAUGAGGGAUGGAGGCCUUUGGGUUGUGAACCUCUUUCGCCGGUGAAGAAGGUCCUGCUCUUUGUGGUGGGGUUGACGGUAGCCGGGUUAUGAAGCGCCGGCUAACUACGUG